GGGCCCGUGGGGUAGCUUGGUAUCCUUGUAGCUUGGGGUGCUAUUGACUCCGGUUCAAAUCCGGACGGGCUCA
RNAcentral lists this transfer RNA (73 nucleotides) under Candidatus Methanoplasma sp. Its description in RNAcentral is "tRNA-Pro". It matches the Rfam family "tRNA". From Rfam's summary of the family: Transfer RNA (tRNA) molecules are approximately 80 nucleotides in length. Lineage: Archaea; Methanobacteriati; Thermoplasmatota; Thermoplasmata; Methanomassiliicoccales; Methanomassiliicoccaceae. The record is from RNAcentral.